Molecule: non-coding RNA, 107 nt
Organism: Gossypium hirsutum (cotton)
Lineage: Eukaryota; Viridiplantae; Streptophyta; Magnoliopsida; Malvales; Malvaceae
Source: Rfam
AGUCCGUGGUAUGGACAUUCUUGAAUCAAUGUUUUAAAGCACUCUCAAGCUUCAUAGAAAUUUCCUCCAUCUAAUUGCUUAAACAUAGAAAUCUCUCUCCUUAGUUG